CAACCCUAAUUCUCAUUCAUCAGUUUCACAACAUUUUCAAGUCAGAGGCCCAAAAACGUCAAAUCAAAACACAGAGUCAUAAUGGGAUCUUUGGCUGAAACACAUAUCACUUGGGUUAAAAAUCUCCGACGAAGAAGCCAACCUCUUUGCUAUGCAGCCCGCUGGUGCCACCGUGCUUUCAAUGGUUCUUACAUCUGCCCUAGAGCUCGACCUUCUCGAGAUCAUAUCCAAGAAUGUUGCUCUCCCUAGGGGUCAACUGUCUCCUCGGAUGUAGCUUCUUAUCUUCCGACCAAAAACCCUGAUACUCCAAUCAUGGUUCACCGGAUCCUUAGGUUGCUUGCGGCUUACUUCAUCUUGACCUGCUCUGUUCGUUAGCUUUCUGAUAGCGGCGUGGAGCGUCUGUACGGAUUUGGACCAGUAUGCAAAGUACCUCACUAAGAACAAAGAUGGAGUCGCACUCGAUGCACUCUUGUUUUUGGAAUGUCCAACUACACCAUCGUCAUGACCAAGAUUCUAGAGACAUGCAAAGGCUUUCAGGGAUUUUUUUCGGUUGAUGUUGGUGCCUGGUGGUGGCAUUGAAGUCACUUUCCGUAAUCCGUAUGAUUGUCUCCAAGCACCCACACAUCAUGGGAAUCCUCUAUGUUCCCUCAUGUCAUUGCGGAAGCUGUUUCUUAUCCCGGUAUAUGUAUUGAACACAUUGGGGGAGAUAUGUCUCUAAAUAUCCCUAAAGCAGAUGACAUCUUCAUGAAGUGGAAAAAUGUCAUGAUUGGAGCGACCAACACUGUUUAAAAUUUCUGAAAAACUGCUAUGGACUGCCUCAUGCUGGCUCACAACCCCGGAGGCAAA
Long non-coding RNA from Brassica oleracea var. oleracea, 846 nucleotides. RefSeq lists it as uncharacterized. The record is from RefSeq and is a predicted model, not a curated record. The transcript is spliced from 3 exons. NCBI's taxonomy places the organism in Eukaryota, Viridiplantae, Streptophyta, Magnoliopsida, Brassicales, Brassicaceae.